This 372-nucleotide unclassified non-coding RNA is filed under the name uncultured Actinomycetes bacterium. RNAcentral's name for it is "uncultured actinobacterium contains 16S-23S intergenic spacer region". The record is from RNAcentral. Lineage: Bacteria; Bacillati; Actinomycetota; Actinomycetes.
UCCGGUUUGUCACCGGCAGUCUCCUUAGAGUGCUCUUGCGUAGCAACUAAGGACAAGGGUUGCGCUCGUUGCGGGACUUAACCCAACAUCUCACGACACGAGCUGACGACAGCCAUGCACCACCUGUGCACUGGUCCCGAAGGAGGACCGUAUUUCUACGGUUUUCCAGUGCAUGUCAAGCCCUGGUAAGGUUCUUCGCGUUGCAUCGAAUUAAACCACAUGCUCCGCUGCUUGUGCGGGGCCCCGUCAAUUCCUUUGAGUUUUAAUCUUGCGACCGUACUUCCCAGGCGGGGUACUUAAUGCGUUAGCUACGGCACAGAGACCGUGGAAUGGCCCCCACACCUAGCGCCCAACGUUUACGGCGUGGACUAC